Long non-coding RNA from Struthio camelus australis, 2106 nucleotides. Ensembl annotates it as ATPase phospholipid transporting 9B (putative). NCBI's taxonomy places the organism in Eukaryota, Metazoa, Chordata, Aves, Struthioniformes, Struthionidae. The record is from Ensembl.
UUUAAAACAUUUGGUGUCUUUUUACAACUUAAAGGUUCGUGUUUUAUUCGAACUGACCAGCUCGAUGGAGAAACAGACUGGAAACUAAAGGUUGCUGUCAGCUGUACACAAAGGUUGCCAGCUUUGGGGGAUCUUUUUUCAAUCAAUGCUUACGUUUAUGCUCAGAAGCCACAGCUGGAUAUUCACAGUUUUGAGGGUACCUUCACACGGGAAGACAGUGAUCCAGCAGUUCAUGAAAGCCUUAGCAUAGAAAAUACGUUAUGGGCAAGCACUGUUGUGGCUUCAGGAACUGUAAUUGGUGUUGUCAUUUACACAGGGAAGGAGACUCGAAGUGUAAUGAACACAUCCAAUCCAAAAAACAAGGUUGGCUUGCUGGAUCUGGAACUGAAUCAACUGACCAAAGCCCUAUUUUUGGCUUUAGUUGCACUAUCAAUUGUUAUGGUAACCUUGCAAGGAUUUGUAGGCCCCUGGUAUCGCAACCUUUUCCGGUUCCUCCUCCUGUUUUCCUAUAUCAUCCCUAUCAGUUUACGUGUGAACUUGGACAUGGGUAAGGCAGCCUAUGGGUGGAUGAUUAUGAAAGAUGACAAUAUUCCUGGAACAGUUGUUCGAACUAGCACCAUACCAGAAGAGUUGGGACGAUUAGUUUAUUUACUAACGGAUAAAACAGGAACACUUACACAGAAUGAGAUGAUAUUUAAGCGCCUCCACCUAGGUACUGUGUCCUAUGGAACAGACACAAUGGAUGAAAUUCAGAGUCAUAUUAUAAACUCUUAUUCACAGUCUUCUGCGCCUAAAGUCCGCAAGAGUGUCAGUAGUCGAAUACAUGAAGCUGUGAAGGCUAUUGCAUUGUGCCACAAUGUGACCCCAGUGUACGAAUCUCGUGCGGGUGUGUCUGGAGAAACAGAAUAUGCAGAAGUGGAUCAAGAUUUCAGCGAUGAAAAUAGAACUUACCAGGCUUCCAGCCCUGAUGAGGUAGCUCUGGUACAAUGGACAGAGAGUGUUGGUCUUACGCUGGUUAACAGAGAUUUGACCUCAAUGCAACUGAAGACCCCUGGUGGACACAUUCUGACAUACUAUAUUCUGCAAAUUUUCCCCUUCACUUCUGAGAGCAAGCGCAUGGGGAUCAUAGUUAGGGAUGAAUCUUCGGGAGAAAUUACAUUUUACAUGAAAGGUGCAGAUGUUGCAAUGUCCACUAUUGUACAGUACAAUGAUUGGUUAGAAGAAGAGUGUGGUAAUAUGGCACGAGAAGGACUGCGUACUCUGGUUGUUGCCAAAAAAUCACUGACUGAAGAACAGUAUCAAGAUUUUGAGAGUCGAUACAACCAAGCAAAGUUAAGUAUACAUGACAGAACCCUGAAGGUUGCUGCUGUUGUGGAGAGUUUGGAGCGAGAAAUGGAGUUGCUGUGUCUCACUGGAGUAGAAGAUCAACUGCAAGCAGAUGUUAGACCAACUCUAGAGAUGUUAAGAAAUGCUGGAAUAAAGAUAUGGAUGUUAACAGGAGAUAAACUGGAGACAGCAACUUGCAUUGCGAAAAGUUCUCACUUAGUAUCUAGGACUCAAGAUAUUCAUAUUUUCAGACCUGUUACCACUCGAGGAGAGGCUCACUUAGAACUAAAUGCCUUUAGAAGGAAGCAUGAUUGUGCCUUGGUAAUAUCUGGGGACUCACUUGAGGUUUGUCUGAAGUACUAUGAACAUGAAUUUGUUGAGUUGGCCUGUCAGUGCCCUGCUGUAGUGUGCUGCCGCUGUUCUCCCACCCAAAAAGCCCAUAUCGUGAAACUGCUACAACACCACACUGGAAAGCGCACGUGUGCAAUAGGUGAUGGAGGAAACGAUGUCAGCAUGAUCCAAGCAGCCGACUGUGGAAUUGGAAUUGAAGGCAAGGAGGGAAAACAAGCAUCCCUAGCAGCUGACUUUUCUAUCACACAAUUCAAACACAUAGGUAGGCUGCUGAUGGUACAUGGUCGAAACAGUUACAAAAGAUCGGCAGCACUUGGUCAAUUUGUCAUGCACCGAGGCCUUAUUAUUUCAACUAUGCAGGCUGUAUUUUCAUCAGUCUUCUAUUUUGCAUCUGUUCCCUUAUACCAAGGAUUCCUAAUGGUAGGGUAA